RNAcentral lists this ribosomal RNA (589 nucleotides) under uncultured Actinomyces sp. RNAcentral's name for it is "bacterial SSU rRNA". It matches the Rfam family "Bacterial small subunit ribosomal RNA", at positions 28 to 611 of the family's 1533-position model. The record is from RNAcentral. Lineage: Bacteria; Bacillati; Actinomycetota; Actinomycetes; Actinomycetales; Actinomycetaceae.
GACGAACGCUGGCGGCGUGCUUAACACAUGCAAGUCGAACGCUGAAGCCUGGCUUUUGUUGGGUGGAUGAGUGGCGAACGGGUGAGUAACACGUGAGUAACCUGCCCUCUUCUUUGGGAUAACGCCCGGAAACGGGUGCUAAUACUGGAUAUUCACUUGCCUUCGCAUGGGGGUGGGUGGAAAGGGUUUUUUCUGGUGGGGGAUGGGCUCGCGGCCUAUCAGCUUGUUGGUGGGGUGAUGGCUUACCGAGGCUUUGACGGGUAGCCGGCCUGAGAGGGUGACCGGUCACAUUGGGACUGAGAUACGGCCCAGACUCCUACGGGAGGCAGCAGUGGGGAAUAUUGCACAAUGGGCGCAAGCCUGAUGCACCGACGCCGCGUGAGGGAUGGAGGCCUUCGGGUUGUGAACCUCUUUCGCUCAUGGCCAAGCCGCAACUCAUGGUUGUGGUGAGGGUAGUGGGUAAAGAAGCGCCGGCUAACUACGUGCCAGCAGCCGCGGUAAUACGUAGGGUGCGAGCGUUGUCCGGAAUUAUUGGGCGUCAAGGGCUUGUAGGCGGUUGGUCGCUUCUGCCGUGAAAUCCUCUUGCUGG